This 477-nucleotide ribosomal RNA is filed under the name uncultured bacterium. Its description in RNAcentral is "bacterial SSU rRNA". It matches the Rfam family "Bacterial small subunit ribosomal RNA", at positions 31 to 507 of the family's 1533-position model. The record is from RNAcentral.
GAACGCUGGCGGCAUGCCUUACACAUGCAAGUCGAACGGCAGCACGGAGCAAUCCUGGUGGCGAGUGGCGAACGGGUGAGUAAUAUAUCGGAACGUGCCCAGUCGUGGGGGAUAACGUAGCGAAAGCUACGCUAAUACCGCAUACGAUCUAUGGAUGAAAGCGGGGAUCGCAAGACCUCGCGCGAUUGGAGCGGCCGAUAUCAGAUUAGGUAGUUGGUGAGGUAAAGGCUCACCAAGCCGACGAUCUGUAGCUGGUCUGAGAGGACGACCAGCCACACUGGGACUGAGACACGGCCCAGACUCCUACGGGAGGCAGCAGUGGGGAAUUUUGGACAAUGGGCGCAAGCCUGAUCCAGCAAUGCCGCGUGCAGGAUGAAGGCCUCGGGUUGUAAACUGCUUUGUACGGAACGAAACGGUGAGCUCUAAUACAGUUUGCUAAUGACGGUACCGUAAGAAUAAGCACCGGCUAACUACGUG